RNAcentral lists this transfer RNA (87 nucleotides) under Cyclonatronum proteinivorum. It matches the Rfam family "tRNA". Rfam says of the family: Transfer RNA (tRNA) molecules are approximately 80 nucleotides in length. Their secondary structure includes four short double-helical elements and three loops (D, anti-codon, and T loops). The record is from Rfam by way of RNAcentral. Lineage: Bacteria; Pseudomonadati; Balneolota; Balneolia; Balneolales; Cyclonatronaceae.
GCCGCUGUGGUGGAAUUGGUAGACACGUUGGACUUAAAAUCCAAUGGAGCUUAAAACUCCGUACCGGUUCGAGUCCGGUCAGCGGUA